Molecule: unclassified non-coding RNA, 373 nt
Filed under: soil metagenome
Description: partial contains 5.8S ribosomal RNA, internal transcribed spacer 2, and large subunit ribosomal RNA
Rfam family: 5.8S ribosomal RNA (bases 1-121)
Source: RNAcentral
GAUGAAGAACGUAGCGAAAUGCGAUAAGUAAUGCGAAUUGCAGAAUUCCAGUGAGUCAUCGAAUCUUUGAACGCACAUUGCGCCCUUUGGUAUUCCGAAGGGCAUGCCUGUUCGAGCGUCAUUAUCACCCCUCAAGCCCUCGGCUUGGUGUUGGACGGUUUGGUGGAGGCCCCCUCGGGGGCUCCUGCCCCUCCCAAAGACAAUGACGGCGGCCUCGUUGGACCCCCGGUACACUGAGUUCUUCACGGGACACGUAUCGGACACAUGGGUUUACGGGACACGGUCUGCCUCCCCUCAGGAAGAAUCUUUCUAAGGUUGACCUCGGAUCAGGUAGGGAUACCCGCUGAACUUAAGCAUAUCAAUAAGCGGAGGA